UGGCUCGGGUUCCUACACAGUGCGCACACACAAAAAGGACAUAGUACAUGAGCUAGGGACGGGAUUUAGGAUAUUUUUUUAAAGUUAAACAACUGUUUUGAACUGUUCUUUUUUUUUAAAACGAUCUAAAAGGAUAGAGUUGUCUAUUAUUUAGUUAGAGAUGAGUCGAUAUGCUUGACCUUAGGUUUUAAUCCGAUGACAGCUAGAAGAGGGGAUAGCGUGGAUAAUCCUCAGAUCUUAAUUCAACCGCUCAAAAAUAUCAAGUGAGAUUUAAUGCAAUUUGCUUAAAAAUCAAACAACUAAGAAAUAGAAACACUCUUAUUUAUUUGGUUUUGCUAUGUCUAAAUCACCUUAUUUUUAGUUAGGGAUCUGAUUGUGUUUUAAGAUUCGGAAUGAGCAAAAGAGAGAGAGAGGAGUGGAGAUGGUG
This 427-nucleotide long non-coding RNA is filed under the name Brachypodium distachyon (stiff brome). Its description in RNAcentral is "long non-coding RNA (BDIS_LNC005234)". Lineage: Eukaryota; Viridiplantae; Streptophyta; Magnoliopsida; Poales; Poaceae. The record is from RNAcentral.